Molecule: long non-coding RNA, 592 nt
Organism: Cyprinodon tularosa
Lineage: Eukaryota; Metazoa; Chordata; Actinopteri; Cyprinodontiformes; Cyprinodontidae
Exons: 3
Source: RefSeq, a predicted model, not a curated record
CAGCUUGUAAAAUGUUGCACCCCACGGCUUCAAUCAAAAGAUAUACCCACCAACCAGGGGCCACAGAACCACAUGGGUCCCUGAAGCCACUCAGCCAUGUCAUGAAGAAAAGUCAUUCUGCUUCCAGCAGGACUUACUGACCUCCGCCUGGAUAAGCAGAGAGAGAUCGAAGAAGAAAAGGUGUGAAGGUUAAGGAGCGUCCAUCAUGUUUGUCUAGUUUCUGAUGAAUCCUGAGGGGAAACAGCCCCUGAGUACUGUUGUUUGUAGUAUUGUGGCGUGUUUCUCCCUUUUAUAAAGGAGGGGGGUGCACUCAGCUCAAUUGUAUCUCGGCUGCAGAUAAGGAGGAACAUUAUUGGGAACUGAGGGAGAGAAACCCAAAAGAUUUUAGAAGAAAGAAGAACAAAACAAGCAAGAGAAACAGUAAAGAUUCAGAAAGGUGGGAGAGUAAAAAAUAUGCAAUAUGAACAGUGAAGUAAAGAGAUAGUAAAAGAGACAGAGAGAGGCAGCAACACUUCUUUCCAUGUUGCAUGUGAGGGAAGAAGAGACGGUUGAGAAACAAGACUUUGUGGUUUCCCUGAUCUAAAUAUAAAUA